GCAUCAAGUCACAUUUUACUUCUUGGUUCUUUCAGUGAAAAGUACGGUGUCACUGGCUAAUACCCUGAGCAAAUCUUUCAAUGUCUCCUAUUCAGAAUUAUCCGAUCACUUGGCCCAAUAUCAGGAUGGCUGGGCUUUUUUGAGCAGCACAUCGAGAAUGUACUUGACGAAAAGGAAUAUUAACACUGACCCACAAGGAAGAAAUCUUACAAGUUGUGUUUCUGCUCAAACGAUACAUGUGGAUGAGUGUACACAUGAGAUAGAGCAGAACUAUACCUACUACAACUCGUCUUCUAGCACAUGAUGUCAUAUUUUCAGAAGCCAACGACAAGCCUCAACAUACACGCAAACAGUGAAGACUGAAAAUGUAUUUUAUUAUGAUACAAGAGCAAAACUACAAUGUUAUAGAUGAAGGCUUGAAACUUUUGCCAGGCAUAAAAUACCAAUAAAGUUUCAUUUAUUUUGACUUUA
This is an RNA transcript of Rhipicephalus microplus (southern cattle tick), 471 nucleotides long. RefSeq lists it as uncharacterized. The record is from RefSeq and is a predicted model, not a curated record. Lineage: Eukaryota; Metazoa; Arthropoda; Arachnida; Ixodida; Ixodidae.